AUUGAACGCUGGCGGCAGGCCUAACACAUGCAAGUCGAACGAGUGGCGGACGGGUGAGUAAUGUCUGGGAAACUGCCCGACGGAGGGGGAUAACUACUGGAACAGGUAGCUAAUACCGCAUACCAUCGGAUGUGCCCUGAUGGGAUUAGCUAGUAGGUGGGGUAACGGCACACCUGGGCGACGAUCCCUAGCUGGUCUGAGAGGAUGACCGGCCACACUGGAACUGAGACACGGCCCAGACUCCUACGGGAGGCAGCAGUGGGGAAUAUUGCACAAUGGACGCAAGCCUGAUGCAGCCAUGCCGCGUGUAUGAAGAAGGCCUUCGGGUUGUAAAGUACUGUCAGCGAGGAGGCGUUACUCGCAGAAGAAGCACCGGCUAACUCCGUGCCAGCAGCCGCGGUAAUAC
RNAcentral lists this ribosomal RNA (406 nucleotides) under uncultured bacterium. RNAcentral describes it as "partial 16S ribosomal RNA". It matches the Rfam family "Bacterial small subunit ribosomal RNA", at positions 30 to 526 of the family's 1533-position model. The record is from RNAcentral.